RNAcentral lists this long non-coding RNA (3090 nucleotides) under Setaria viridis. RNAcentral describes it as "long non-coding RNA (SVIR_LNC002529)". The record is from RNAcentral. Lineage: Eukaryota; Viridiplantae; Streptophyta; Magnoliopsida; Poales; Poaceae.
CGCCGCGCUGCCCGGAUCGGGACAGCUGCCUGCACCUGCGCCCGCGCGGCUCUGCUGCCAAGUAUAAAUGGCAAGCAGGAGCUCGAUCACACAUCAGACGGGGGGAGAGAGAAUGGGAAGAAAGACCGCACCAGCCUCGGCCACAGAUCCACUGCCUAGCUGCAUCUGCAUCCCAUCUUCAGGUACACCACACUUUUGCUGAUCGCGUGUUUCGUUAGUGCUCUGCAAUCGAACCCAUUAGAAUUCAGGUACCGGAUUUCUGCUCCGUUCACUGAUGCUUCCUCCUUGUUUUCUCACCCGUGUCGUCCGGUCCGGUAGCUGCCUGCCUGCCUGCCUCCCGGUCUCUGCUUCUCGUGGUUCCCUGUUUCUCCCCUCAGCUGUGUACGCUACAGCCGUGGUCUCAACGCGAGUCAUGGCGCGCCUCUUGUUCCAUCUGAUCUUCUUCUUUCCCGAACAUCCAAGUAAUUUCUUCUUUCCCAAACAUCCAAGUAAUAUCUCCUCCGACAGUCAUCAAUAUGCUGUUCAUUUUGAUCAAGAUUCAAGAACAAGCUGCACUAUUCGACGAAAACAAGAUGCCCUUCCAUCCAAACUUUAGCGCCCACUCCAGAUUCUGUUAAUUUUCCACAGCUCCAACACACCAGCCUUUAUAUGUUUUUUUUUCUUUCAACUGAAACAGACCAACAUCUCUGUCUUAAACUAUUGGCAUAUGGAGACUGCCUGAAACUGACCCUUCUACUUGCCUUGUACCAUGUUGGUUCUCCUUACCUUUAUUUUCCCUUUCGCUUUCGCUUGUCGGCCAAUAACUCUGACCACAAAGAUUCAAAGAAAAACAUGUUGCAUCCUGAACCACACACCAGUCACUCUUUCUAUGGAUUUGAACACAGUUUUCUCCUAUUUCGAUGAACAGAUAAAAUCAUAGCGAGUUUCCUGUCGUAGUUGUUGAUGCUGUGGACGAUACAAUCAAUAUGGUAACCAUUGAAACAUAGUGUAAGGCCAAACAAACUACCUGAAACGCUUCGCAGGAUUCCCUUGAUCCUCCUUUUCAUGGAAGAGACAUGCAGCUAUGCUGCGUUUGCCCAAACAAAGAAGAAGGGGUAAAAAGGAAGCCUCGGUACCCUUGUAUCGAGCUGGUACAAUGCUCCUUUACUUGUCACUAUCGUUAACCACAUAUAUACACUGAAAUUGCCAAGGGUGGUAUUUAUAGGCCCUGCUGAUUGCUGAAUCUUAGCGACAGAGAGCAGAGAAAAGUAUGAGAGCGAAAGACAGCAGAGAAAGUAUGGGAGGCACCCACAUUGCAGGACUGGCCAGUGUGGUGAUCCUUUUGUGAAAAAGAGUGAGCAAAUCCCCUGCACGUAGACCUAACCUUUUUUAUGUUUGGACUGAUGAGGAUCAUACAAGUUUCGCGAGUGAUCAGGUCCAGGAGCAGGCCACAGAGGCCUCGUCGUCUGUCCAGAUGGAGAUCUUCUUCACCUGGUUCCCUUGGUUUCGGUAGUGCUCACCAGCUGUGCUCAUUUGUUAGUUAUUGAUCUCUUGCCAAGUUCUUGCUGGGUACAUCCCUCUUGCUGUCGUUGCCAUGUGUUGCUCAGCUCAAGUGGACUCGUCUCUCCUCCAGAUAAUGCUUGUUUUCUUGCAGGGUUGGCGCUGGGGGAGCCGAAUCAGCAGCAAGUGGAUGCAUCAGUCCUGAAAAUAGGGAUUUCCGGUUUUGACUGCUGAAGCUGACAAAACUGCUCUUUUUGGGGUGACUCUAGUCAUGCCUUUUGGCACAUGCAGGACAGCUGAACUGGAGACCUUUUAGUAUAAUAACGGAAAACAUUUCGGUCCUGCAGCACAUGCAACCCUUGUCGUACCAGUGGCUGACCUGGUUCAAUGGUACAGUGGCAACAGGGCCAGAUGAUUAUGGCCACUGGCCUCAUGAUCUCUAAUCAGUAAUCACACGUGCUGAGAUGGGCCGGAUGCACUCCAUUAUUGAUCCCUGGUGCAGAAGAAAACUCCGAUAUCCAUCCAGGUUCAAGAUGCUCGCACGUGUUUGUUAGCAGGCUAUGUGUUUGAGAUUUUGCUUCGGCUUUAGUUGCUUAGAACAUCUGCUAUUUUCUUAAAGUCUUGAUUUGCUUAUAUCUUUACCACACUUAUAAGCUAAGACUGUCACAAUGAAUGGUUAAGUGCAUGCCUUAUGCAAGGCCAGAAUAAAGAAUUCCAUAAUCUAAAAAUGUGCCUGAUCUCAGGUCAUGAAAAUCAGUAAUCAUGUACUGGUUCAGUAGCGAUCAUAUACAAUUCUGAUCUGAUUAUGUGAUCUAAAAGGGUGAUUAUCUGGUAGUAUAACCCAGUAAAGUACAACCAAUAUUUAGAACAAAGUGCCUUGGGACCCAACAAGCCAACAAGUGGAAGUGCUUUAGUGAGCAUACACGGCCACUGGCCACAUAAAAGCAACGGGGCCAACGGAUAGAGCCUUGAUGGUCGCAAGCAUGGCUUCUCCCCAGAUAAUGUUAGAUAUUCUCCAAGUGUUUUGAACUGACAUGAAUCUACCGCAGAGACGAUUAGAUGGAUGGAAGCAGGAGGGCUCACCGAGUCACCGGCGUGGUUCCCACCUGUUGCCAGUAGCCUAUAAAUUUGCCCUUUUCAGUCAUUAACCCCUGGCGACGAAAUGUCGAUGCACAACGGAAUACUACUUUCGUUAUCUUAUCUCGAUAUAACUUCAAGUGAGAGUUGUUUUACCUUACAGAACUUCAAGUGGGAGUAGCUUUUUCUUAUUAUGGCUCAUCUGAAACUAUACUGUAUGCUUAUGGCCUUAUGGUUAGGACAAUGCCAUGGUAAGGUGCGGUGUAGAAGCACUUUGCAAUAUUAUUUCUAGUGGUUCCUGUGAGACCUAUAGUUUCAAGUUCCAGCUGAAAAAACGUGACAAUACAGAGCCCUGUGGCAACUUGGUAAAUUCACAUAAAUCUGUGGUUGUGCCAGCCAGUGAUAAGAUGAUAUUUUCAACGUCUAGCUCCUACGCUAGCAACUUUAAGAGUUCCAUAACCAAACUGAUGGAAUGGUCUCUAUGGAUGCAUUCACCUCAGAAUCAAAUUGAUAUUUUAAGUGUGAACGGUAUCG